CACCACCGAACCACAUGAGCUUGUAGAGAUAGAGUCAGACUCUUGUCCUGAUUAUGAGAACAUCUCAGACCCUGGAGCACAGACAGAAGACCCUGAGGAGGAGGAAGACCUGUCAGACUCUUGUCCUGAUUAUGAGAACAUCUCAGACCCUGCAGCUCAGGCAAAAGACCCAGAGGAGCAGGAAGACCUGGUGUGAAGUCCAGUCAGAUGCAGUUGGACCAGAGGCGGGACUCACCUGUUGUUUGGGUUUCUUCACAUGCAGUUAAAAGAGAGAGAGAGAGACUCCCGUGGAGGAAAAUAAAGAGAAGUCUUUACCUCCAAACAUUUGAAUUCUCAUUUUUUUUAGAAGCCUCCAGCAGCAGAAGAUUUGAGAAGAAUGCAGCUUUAUUUGUACCUGUGCAGGUACAUAACAUAACUGGACUCAGUUCAGGAUUUAACUUGAUGUGCAAAGUGAUAUUUUUGUAGUAAAUUACUUUUAAGAAAUAUAGUUCAACCUGUAACAUCACACCUGUCCUGGCAGGGAAAGCCAUUAAAGUCCAACUCUUCCACAGCAUGUACAGUAUAUUAUUACACAAAGAAUAUUCUCCUUUCCUAGUUGUGUCAUUUCUGUGUAUUGGAUGUGUUAUUCGUAGUUUGAACAUGAUGCCAGUUCCCUCUCACUGCUGCAGAGGGCGAUAGUGUGCAGGUGCAAGCUUUGGAUUUCAGCUUUAAACUCUUUUUUAUUGAUCAG
Long non-coding RNA from Etheostoma cragini (Arkansas darter), 730 nucleotides. RefSeq lists it as uncharacterized. Lineage: Eukaryota; Metazoa; Chordata; Actinopteri; Perciformes; Percidae. The transcript has 4 exons. The record is from RefSeq and is a predicted model, not a curated record.